AGAGUUUGAUCCUGGCUCAGGAUGAACGCUAGCGGCAGGCUUAAUACAUGCAAGUCGAGGGGCAGCACGAAUAGCAAUAUUUGGUGGCGACCGGCAAACGGGUGCGGAACACGUACAGAACCUUCCUUUAAGUGGGGGAUAGCCCAGAGAAAUUUGGAUUAAUACCCCGUAACAUUAUUUAGUGGCAUCACUAAAUGAUUAUAGAUUUAUCGCUUAGAGAUGGCUGUGCGGCUGAUUAGGUAGUUGGUGUGGGUAACGGCCCACCAAGCCUUCGAUCAGUAACUGGUGUGAGAGCACGACCAGUCACACGGGCACUGAGACACGGGCCCGACUCCUACGGGAGGCAGCAGUAAGGAAUAUUGGUCAAUGGACGCAAGUCUGAACCAGCCAUGCCGCGUGAAGGAUGAAGGUCCUCUGGAUUGUAAACUUCUUUUAUCUGGGACGAAACCCUCGCUUUCUAGCGGGAUUGACGGUACCAGAGGAAUAAGCACCGGCUAACUCCGUGCCAGCAGCCGCGGUAAUACGGAGGGUGCAAGCGUUAUCCGGAUUCACUGGGUUUAAAGGGUGCGUAGGUGGGUCUGUAAGUCAGUGGUGAAAUCUCCGUGCUUAACAUGGAAACUGCCAUUGAUACUAUAGGUCUUGAAUUUUCUGGAGGUUAGCGGAAUAUGUCAUGUAGCGGUGAAAUGCUUAGAUAUGACAUAGAACACCAAUUGCGAAGGCAGCUGACUACGGGAACAUUGACACUGAGGCACGAAAGCGUGGGGAUCAAACAGGAUUAGAUACCCUGGUAGUCCACGCCCUAAACUAUGGAUACUCGACAUUCGCGAUACACAGUGAGUGUCUGAGCGAAAGCAUUAAG
This 859-nucleotide ribosomal RNA is filed under the name uncultured Bacteroidota bacterium. RNAcentral's name for it is "bacterial SSU rRNA". It matches the Rfam family "Bacterial small subunit ribosomal RNA", at positions 8 to 864 of the family's 1533-position model. The record is from RNAcentral. Lineage: Bacteria; Pseudomonadati; Bacteroidota.